CCCUUAGAUGUUCUGGGCCGCACGCGCGCUACACUGAACAGAUCAGCGUGUAUUCCCUUCCUGAGAAGGACGGGUAAACCGCUGAGCCCUGUUCAUGGUAGGGAUCGGGGCUUGCAAUUAUUCCCCGUGAACCAGGAAUUCCCAGUAGGCGCAAGUCAUAAGCUUGCGUCGAUUACGUCCCUGCCCUUUGUACACACCGCCCGUCGCUCCUACCGAUUGAAUGGUCCGGUGAAGCGUUCGGACCGUGGCCUUUGGACGGUUCGCCGUCUGUUGGCUGCGGGAAGUUCGUUAAACCUUAUCAUUUAGAGGAAGGAGAANUCGUAACA
Molecule: ribosomal RNA, 326 nt
Filed under: uncultured eukaryote
Lineage: Eukaryota
Description: partial 18S ribosomal RNA
Rfam family: Eukaryotic small subunit ribosomal RNA
Source: RNAcentral